GUCAACACUGGAAACCAACGGCUUCUUUCCACAGGGCAGGCACAGCACAAGCAGUAAAAGUGCAAGCUUCCCCCACACUGCUUUUCAGCCACGUCCUAGAGAAGUACCUCUAGGAGAGAGCGCUCAAGUCCAUUCACCAUGGAUCACCGACUUCU
Molecule: small RNA, 155 nt
Filed under: Chelonoidis abingdonii (Abingdon island giant tortoise)
Lineage: Eukaryota; Metazoa; Chordata; Testudines; Testudinidae
Description: TUC338 (ENSCABG00000016511.1)
Source: RNAcentral